Molecule: ribosomal RNA, 424 nt
Filed under: uncultured bacterium
Lineage: Bacteria
Description: partial 16S ribosomal RNA
Rfam family: Bacterial small subunit ribosomal RNA
Source: RNAcentral
AAUAUUGGACAAUGGGCGCAAGCCUGAUCCAGCAAUGCCGCGUGGGUGAAGAAGGCCUGCGGGUUGUAAAGCCCUUUCGUCCGGGAAGAAAAGCAGAGGGCUAAUACCCAUCGGUCUUGACGUUACCGGUAGAAGAAGCACCGGCCAACUCCGUGCCAGCCGCCGCGGUAAUACGGAGCGUGCGGGCGUUAAUCGGAAUUACUGGGCGUAAAGCGCGCGUAGGCGGUGGCGUGAGUCGGAUGUGAAAGCCCCGGGCUCAACCUGGGAAUGGCAUUCGAUACCGCGUCGCUAGAGUUUGGGAGAGGGAAGGGGAAUUCCGGGUGUAGCGGUGAAAUGCGUAGAUAUCCGGAGGAACACCAGUGGCGAAGGCGCCUUCCUGGCCUAAGACUGACGCUGAGGUGCGAAAGCGUGGGGAGCAAACAGG